UCACAAGAACCAUUGUCGCAUGAGAGUAA
RNAcentral lists this non-coding RNA (29 nucleotides) under Mus musculus (house mouse). The record is from RNAcentral. Lineage: Eukaryota; Metazoa; Chordata; Mammalia; Rodentia; Muridae.